CGACACGGGGAGGUAGUGACAAUAAAUACUGAUACAGGGCUCUUUUGGGUCUUGUAAUUGGAAUGAGUACAAUUUAAAUCCCUUAACGAGGAACAAUUGGAGGGCAAGUCUGGUGCCAGCAGCCGCGGUAAUUCCAGCUCCAAUAGCGUAUAUUAAAGUUGUUGCAGUUAAAAAGCUCGUAGUUGAACCUUGGGCCUGGCUGGCCGGUCUGCCUCACCGCAUGCACUGGUCCGGCCGGGCCUUUCCCUCUGGGGAUCCGCAUGCCCUUCACUGGGUGUGUCGGGGAACCAGGACUUUUACUGUGAAAAAAUUAGAGUGUUCAAAGCAGGCCUAUGCUCGAAUACAUUAGCAUGGAAUAAUAGAAUAGGACGUUGCGGUUCUAUUUUGUUGGUUUCUAGGACCGCCGUAAUGAUUAAUAGGGACAGUCGGGGGCGUCAGUAUUCAAUCGUCAGAGGUGAAAUUCUUGGAUCGAUUGAAGACUAACUACUGCGAAAGCAUUCGCCAAGGAUGUUUUCAUUAAUCAGGAACGAAAGUUAGGGGAUCGAAAACGAUCAGAUACCGUUGUAGUCUUAACCAUAAACUAUGCCGACUAGGGAUCGGGCGAUGUUAUUUCUUGACUCGCUCGGCACCUUACACGAAAGUAAAGUUUUUGGGUUCUGGGGGGAGUAUGGUCGCAAGGCUGAAACUUAAAGAAAUUGACGGAAGGGCACCACAAGGGGUGGAGCCUG
Molecule: ribosomal RNA, 728 nt
Filed under: uncultured marine eukaryote
Lineage: Eukaryota
Description: SSU rRNA
Rfam family: Eukaryotic small subunit ribosomal RNA
Source: RNAcentral